GCAUUGGUGAUUCAGUGGUAGAAUUCUUUCCUUCCAUGCAGGAGACCCAGGUUCAAUUUCUGGCCAAUGCA
This 71-nucleotide transfer RNA is filed under the name Loxodonta africana (African savanna elephant). It matches the Rfam family "tRNA". From Rfam's summary of the family: Transfer RNA (tRNA) molecules are approximately 80 nucleotides in length. Their secondary structure includes four short double-helical elements and three loops (D, anti-codon, and T loops). The record is from Rfam by way of RNAcentral. Lineage: Eukaryota; Metazoa; Chordata; Mammalia; Proboscidea; Elephantidae.